RNAcentral lists this ribosomal RNA (583 nucleotides) under uncultured Paracoccaceae bacterium. RNAcentral's name for it is "bacterial SSU rRNA". It matches the Rfam family "Bacterial small subunit ribosomal RNA", at positions 312 to 916 of the family's 1533-position model. Lineage: Bacteria; Pseudomonadati; Pseudomonadota; Alphaproteobacteria; Rhodobacterales; Paracoccaceae. The record is from RNAcentral.
ACUUACUCUUUCAGUCGACGAUUCCUACGGGAGGCAGCAGUGGGGAAUCUUAGACAAUGGGGGAAACCCUGAUCUAGCCAUGCCGCGUGAGUGAUGAAGGCCUUAGGGUCGUAAAGCUCUUUCGCCAGGGAUGAUAAUGACAGUACCUGGUAAAGAAACCCCGGCUAACUCCGUGCCAGCAGCCGCGGUAAUACGGAGGGGGUUAGCGUUGUUCGGAAUUACUGGGCGUAAAGCGCGCGUAGGCGGAUUAGUCAGUCAGAGGUGAAAUCCCAGGGCUCAACCCUGGAACUGCCUUUGAUACUGCUAGUCUAGAGUUCGAGAGAGGUGAGUGGAAUUCCGAGUGUAGAGGUGAAAUUCGUAGAUAUUCGGAGGAACACCAGUGGCGAAGGCGGCUCACUGGCUCGAUACUGACGCUGAGGUGCGAAAGUGUGGGGAGCAAACAGGAUUAGAUACCCUGGUAGUCCACACCGUAAACGAUGAAUGCCAGUCGUCGGCAAGUAUACUUGUCGGUGACACACCUAACGGAUUAAGCAUUCCGCCUGGGGAGUACGGUCGCAAGAUUAAAACUCAAAUGAAUUGACGG